CGGUUGAUCCUGCCGACGAUGUCCGCUCACGCUGAAGAUUAACACAUGCAAGCUUUGUUGAACCUACUUCAACGGGAAAACAGCGAAUGGCUCAUUACAACAGUUAUAGUUUCCAUGACGAAUCAUCUUACUCGGAUAACUCUGGUAACUCUAGAGCUAAUACGUGCAUUAAACGGGCAAUCCUUUAUUGGAGAGUCCGGUGCUUAUUAGGUUCAAACCAACAUCAGGGCAACCUGAUUAUUUGGUGACUCAGAAUAAUCCAACGGAGCCUAUGCUUUCGGGCGAGGCCGCGUCAUUCAAGUUUCUGACCUAUCAGCUUUCGAUUGUGCGGUAUUGGCCCACAAUGGCUUUGACGGGUAACGGGGUUUUGGGGAACGACUCCGGAGAAACAGCAUGAGAUUCGGCUGUUACAUCCAAGGAAGGCAGCAGUGGCGUAAAUUACCCAAUGCCGGUUUAUGGCGAGGUAGUGACGGCGAUUAACACUGACCUUGGCUUUCAGCUAGGGUCGGUUUGGAAUGGCUGGGUUCUAAAAAUACCCAGGAGGAUCAAUUGGAGGGCAAGUCUGGUGCCAGCAGCCGCGGUAAUUCCAGCUCCAAUGGCGGAUGUUGAUUCUGCUGCAGUUAAAAAGCUCGUAGUUGAAUUUUGGCCUUUGUUUCUUGCGGCUUUGUAUCGCGGUGUUAAAACCGUGGUGCGGGCAUGUUGGGAGCGGGGCUUUUGCGCGGGGAGCCUUCGUUUGGUUUACUCCAAGCGUUGGGGAUCUGCGCCUUUUACUGUGAGGAAAUCUAGGUGCUCAAAGCGGGCUUUACGCUCGAAAGCUUCAGCACNGAAUGAUAAGAUACGGCUCGGUCGGUCUUGUUGGUUUAUCGAACGAGUAAUGGUUAACAGGAACAGUUGGGGGUAUUCGUAUUGGCAUGUCAGAGGUGAAAUUCUUGGAUUAUGUCAAGACGAACGACUGCGAAAGCAUUUACCAAGGAUGUUUUCAUUAAUCAAGAACGAAAGUUGGGGGAUCGAAGAUGAUUAGAUACCAUCGUAGUCUCAACCGUAAACGAUGCCGACUGUCAAUCGUCACGCUUUUUUUUAAAGAGGCGUGGCGGCGGGCGAUGAGAAAUCGAAGUCUUUGGGUUCUGGGGGGAGUAUGGUCGCAAGACUGAAACUUAAAGGAAUUGACGGAAGGGCACACCAGAGGUGGAGCUUGGGCUUAAUUUGACCCAACACGGGAAAACUUACCAGGUCCGGACUUCAAAAGGAUUGACAGAUUGAAAGCUCUUUCAUGAUCUGAAGGGUGGUGGUGCAUGGCCGUUCGUAGUUGGUGGAGUGAUUUGUCUGGUUAAUUCCGUUAACGAACGAGACCUCGGCCUGCUAAAUAGUAGACCUUAUCUCGCGAUAGGUGUACACUUCUUAGAGGGACUUUGUGUUUUUAAUGCAAGGAAGUUCGAGGCAAUAACAGGUCUGUGAUGCCCUUAGAUGUUCUGGGCCGCACGCGUGCUACAAUGAGUGGAUCAAUAGGUUUUGUGCUUCUCCGAAAGGAGUCGCUAAUCCCGAAUACCACUCGUGAUGGGGCUUGAUUUUUGCAAUUAUGAAUCACCAACGAGGAAUCUCUAGUAAGCGUAAAUCAUCAGUUUGCGCUGAUUACGUCCCUGCCCUUUGUACACACCGCCCGUCGCACCUACCGAUUGCGCGCUUGAAUGAAAUCUCGGGAGCCGAAAUACUGGGCCGUUAAAAGUUUGGUGAUUUGGUGAACUUGAUUGAAUUCAACUGCGUAGAGGAAGGUGAAGUCGUAACAAGGUC
Molecule: ribosomal RNA, 1788 nt
Filed under: metagenome
Description: SSU rRNA
Rfam family: Eukaryotic small subunit ribosomal RNA
Source: RNAcentral